GUAAAUUAGCAAAUGAAAUAACAAAAAAAGUGGCGAAGUGAAGGUGGAGAGAUUCCCAUCCCCAUCUCUCAUCUCAUCCAAGCGAAUCGGAACCGCUAAAAAGCCAAAGUUAAAAGCACGAUGCGACUAAAGAAACAAACUAAAAAGAAAAAGGCGCUUACAUAUACUUUUUCCCCCGUUUCUCUAAACCCCCUACGACCGAGGACGAAUGAAAUAUUCUCCUUCCCCUAAAAGCGCCGAUCGACACGUAGCGCCCUGACACGCGGCGCAUUAUCUAUCCGGGAAAGACACGUCGCAGCCGUAGCCGAGAACGGGCCACGAUUCUCCGCCGUCGAAUGGAAUCGACGGUGGGAUUCGCAUGUGCGGGUCAUGAAUCUACACCCG
This 384-nucleotide long non-coding RNA is filed under the name Physcomitrium patens. RNAcentral's name for it is "long non-coding RNA (PPAT_LNC011443)". Lineage: Eukaryota; Viridiplantae; Streptophyta; Bryopsida; Funariales; Funariaceae. The record is from RNAcentral.